UUUCUUGGGCUGCUCCUGCGGCAUAUGGAGGUUCCCAGGCUAGGGGUUGAAUCGGAGCUGUAGCUGCCAGCUUACGCCAGAGCCACAGCAACGUAGGAUCCGAGCCGCGUCUGCGACCUACACCACAGCUCACGGCAACGCCAGAACCUUGACCCACUAAGCAAGGGCAGGGAUUGAACCCGCAACCUCAUGGUUCCUAGUCGGAUUCGUUAACCACUGCGCCACGACGGGAACUCCUAAACUAUUAUUUCUUAAUAACGCAAAUAGCUAUUAAUCUCCUUAAGAAGAAGAAAAUAAAGAUCUUUUCCACGUACGCAAAAGAGACUGCACCGGUUUCUCCAUGUUUGGAUGGGGAGCAGAUAAGACAGUUUUAUUGAAACGAAUUUCCUAGAAUUUCAUGGUGGGAACUUUGGGAACAGAAAGAAUGUCGAUGGUGAAGGGGAAGGACAAAAUGUGUCUUUAAUGUAAUGUUUUAUUGUUAUAAUGACACUUUGAAUUCAAGAUUACCUCUGUUGGAAAGAAUAUGAAACAUUUCACACACAGUAUUGCAAACCUCAAGAAUCCAGGUAUCUUUACUUCAAAAGUUAUUGUUACUUUAAAGUUGGGAAGAGUGGAUUCAACAGAAGAAUCUUCCCCCCAGCGCAGAACUUUGGAGGAGAGCCAGCACAGUUAUAUUGCUAUUCCAGAGUUUCUGCAUUUCCACAGAUCUCAGACGAGACCAAACAAUAUGUUUUGUGCUACACUUGAAGCAAGGAGGCAGCCAGGUUGUAUUUAACCCAACAAAUAAAGUAAAAGUUGAUGGAGUGUCUCCUACGUAUAAAGAAUAUGAAAGGCACAGGCCUUGUUCUCAAGGAAUUUAUAACUUAGUGAAGGGGUCAGACAUGUAAACUAAAUUUCCUGGGAAGCACUGUUAAAUGAAAGCAUUGCGAAAGGAGCAUUGACAACGAGUUGUGGAGGCAUCAUGGGGAGGGGCUGCUCUGGAUGGGGGCUGCUUAGGACAAUCAGAAGGAGAAAGACCCAACAGUAGGAUCAGGCCACUUCCCUAGGAGGCACCAGGGAACCCUUCUGAUUGGUGGAGAUUUCUUCUAAGUUCUGAGAUGAAACCUACCUAUCCAGGUAUCUGUAGGUAUCCACCAUGUGUUUCCAGCUUUAUCUUCUAAAGCAAUGCAAAUUAUUAUUAUUAUUAUUUUUGUCUUUUUAGGGCUGCACUCGCUACACAUGGAGGUUCCCAGGCUACGGGCCAAAUUGAAGCUGUAGUCACUGGCCUACGCGACAGCCACAGCAAGGCCAGAUCUGAGCUUUGUCUGCAACCUACACCACAGCUCACAGCAAUGCCAGCUCCUUAGUCCACUGAGCAAGGCCAGGGAUCGAACCUGCGACCCAUGGAUACUAGUCAGAUUUGUUUCCACUGAGCCAGGACAGGAACUCCGCAAUGCAAAUCAUUUUAAUCCCUCUCAUAUGUGCCUGCCUUCACAAUUCUAAAUCUGGAUGACAUUUCUUUCCCUUUUCCCAUGCUGCCCACCUCCCCCCUACUGCCCCCGAGUCCUUUGCCUUCUCCCAUUUCUGUUAGAUACACCAAUUUCUUCAACUCUUUCACCUGUGUCACGAAUCCCAAAUCCUUCACUAUCUGGGCCUUCUUCUCUUGACACACUCCACGUUAUUCACAUCCAUCCUUGAAAUUGGCAUUGAAAAGGGAACACAAUACUUUAGAUACGGGUUGACCGGUGGGGUCAUUUUCUUCCUUUGUUAUCCAUCCAUCCCUCUGUUUAUCCAUCCAACCACCUAUCCAAAGGACACUUAAAUAAGCUUCUGUGACAUGAGGCAUUGAUUGUUCUAGUUACUACUGGGGAUAAAAAGAUGGAAAACUUCCAUGAAGCGCAAGUCAAGGGAGAUGACGUUUGGAGGAAACCAUUCUACCACCACCACCUAAGAUUUUGUUAGUCAUCUGCCAUCUAUUGAUUAUGCAGUUAGCAUCUACCGAGUUUGUGGACCCCCAAACAUCUAACAGCAUCUUACAAAACUUAUGCUUAAACAGAUUGCUCUCGUUCAAUGCUUUAGCAUUGAACCAUCCAGCAACGAUCAGAAUUUUCCACUGAUUUUGGCCUUUGAAAUGUCAGCCCAUUGUUUCAGUUUUUUGAGAUAUUUUGGGACUCUAGACCCUGUUCUCCAACAUCAAGCCUUUCCUUUUAGUUCUAGUCUGCCUGCAAACGCGAAUAGCUUGGCCCAGAACCCUGGAGACAUGGAGCCAGCUUUGAAUUGAGCCAGCUUUGAAUCCACCCAGCUCUAGGAGGAGAAAGGCCUCAGUUCUUUAUCUUGGCCAUCACAGAGAUCAUUUUUGGACAAAUGUGAUAUUGAAAUCAAGAUACAGUGUCCCCAAGGAAUUUUUUUAAACCAAUUUACUAGUAUAAAUGCUAAAUAAAUAAAUGCAUUAAUAAAAAGUAGAACUGAGUACCAGGCCUUAUCCAACCCCAUGUUUACAGAGAGAUCAAUCCGCUAAUGUGGAAAUUGGCAGCUCCAGGAGGUUUGGGAAGAAGCAUCUCCCUGUUCAACUCAGAGAUACUAAAUCAGCGGAUUAGGUCUCCAAACUGUCUCUGGGGCUAGAGAGAAUAGCAGUGCUCUUUAUGAGCAUCUUGGAUUUCUACUUUUAAAAUGAAAUCCACUGGGUCCUAUCAGUCUGUGGUUUGUCUGCUCUGGUUUUAGCCAACCCGAGAUGGGGUUGCAUCGUGAUUGGUUACAACAGUCUGCUCUUUGGAAGGGGGACCCCACUGACCCCUGACCACAGCCGGUCAUACAGGGAGCGUCAGAGGCGGACCAAUUACCUAAGAGGAUGUAGAAAAAUCAAACAGAGGCUGGGUACAAUGAAGGGAAAAAACACACAGCAGGCCCAGCUUUAGUUCCACCGCUUGAAUUACCACUAUGUCAAUAGAAGGUGAUAAAUCAAGGGAGAUAUUUACUGAUUAAAAUUACAGACUCCUACGGGAAACUGUAUAAACAGAUUGGAGAACAAAGCCUUCAGGGACUGAGCCCAGCCGAAUCCAUCCAGGCUUUGGCCAGUCGUUUCUGUCUCUGGCCAACUCUUGGACCCAGGGGUCAUGGAGAGAGCAAGUUGCUCCACAAAAUCAGACUUAAAGAUCAAGAACACCUCUUCAUGCCCUGUAUGCCAGUGGAGGCCCUGAGGCUACAGAUGCUGAAGAGAGGACAUAGGAGACAUGAGUGGGCAUGAAGCCCACUCCCGUGGGGAGGGUGGAGGGUGGUAAACGUUGCCAAUAAGCUUUUUCUGCCAAACUACCUUGCCCACCCUUUCUGGUGUGUCCAUGUCAGUGUUGCCAGGGCAACCAAAGCUUUGCUCUGCCAUGCCGGUCUCUCCAGGUGCAUUGCAUGGUCAAGGUCAUUCUGCUUCUUUAUAUGGUGAUCUUUUUGAGUGAGGGAAAGGCUUUUGGGGGUUUCUGGAGCAAUUUGUGAAAGGAGGACUUAAAGCAAGUUUGCAGUUUUGUUUUCAGAGCCCUGGAUGUUUUUUUUUACACCAGCUCUGCCUUGUGGGAGUAAGGCAGCAAACCUCUCUGUUCUGAUAGAGGCAGCACAGGUUUCUGUCUGAUGGAUGAGGAAGCCCUGGGGAAGGGAGGGGGGCUAUUUGGCAUCAGUAUUGGCUCCAUUAUCUAAGUGUGGUCUCUGGGUGAAAUUCUGACCUCCCAACCCAAGUUCCAUUCCUUCCCUUUUGUGUCCUUGGCCAUGAUACUGCAGUCAUCACUCAAAGGGGAUUGGGCAAAAAUGUUCUGGGAUAUAUAGGCUCUGAUGCCUGGGAGGAGGGAGGCAGGCCUCUCUACAAGGUCAAAGUCACAGCGGUGUGUUAGAGGCACAACUCCUAUUAGGGCCACCAUGCAUGGUUGGGUUGGGGGUUUUGCAGAUUUUGUAAAGGUGCCUGGCUGAGGGGACAAUUGUGGGCUGAAACCAGCUGAUGUUCUACUUGCCAAGCUGCCUCACGGCUUGCCCUGAUACACGGCAGUGUCCACUUGGAAGGAAGAUAACUUUUUCUCCAUCCCCAGGAAAAGCUGGUCCUUGAGGCAUGCAGCCCACAGGCUUUGUCUCCCCAGUUGGGGCACCUUUUCCUAAUGGUCCCUCUAGAAGGAGUGUCUUUUUCUAAAUAGCAGGAAGGUACAGAACAGACUGGACAAGGCCCUGAUUCUUCUGGCCUUUUCCUCGGAGCUGAGAGGAAGACGAGGUGAAAAAGAUCCCAGUGAGGGCAUCAAGAAGCUCAUACUUGGCCUUUUAAAAGGCAACGGUGGAUAACAAAACGCCUGAAUAAUCACCCUGGCUCGCUCUUCGUUCUUUUGCAACCGGGUUACAGUAAAGGGAGGCAAACGUUCCUAUGUUUGUUUUUCCCUCCCCGCAGGAAUUGGUUAAGCAUCCUCUGAGUGACCUCCUGUCCUGGGGUGUCACCGAGCCCAUCUCAUCAUCGGCCUCCAGAGAUGCUUGAUGUUACUGCUCAGGCAUCGUAUACUGUCUUAACUUCCAGAAAACUUGGAGACAUCCCUUUCAUUUUGUUUUAUUUUUUCUUUUAAGGAAGUGAUGUUUAGAGCUGUCGCGCUUGGCUGCUCUGCCCCUUGGAGCCUCCUCUAAAGGGUUUCCUUAUCUCUCAAUGGACGUACGUUUUGGAGAUGGGGAGAAAUUAAUUCCCAUUUCCCAGGCUGAGAAGGUGAAGUUGGUGAGUGCUCUGAUCUCGUUCUUCUGCUCUCCUUGAUGAAAAAUCUCUCUUUGCCCUGGAAUAUCAUGGCCUGGAAGUCUUUAAAUUAAAAACAGUUGUGAAACGGGCAGCAAUUUAGAACUUACACCAGGGCAUGAAUCUGUAAAGAGCAAGGCCUCGGGAUGCAGGUCAUGUGUCUCCAACGAGGCCUGUUUUGUGUCCCUGGUGUGCACUAAGCUGCUUCUUCUCCCUCAAAGAGGGAACGUCAGUCCUCUUGGGCUGUUCCCCACCCUCCCUUCUGACUUAACUUCCCCCCUGGUCCCACGUCCGGGCUUCUAGGAUUUGCCACCGGCACGGUGGGGCCAACAGGCCUGGUGCUUCUUCGGGGUCUGGUGUCCUACUGGGGGCCGACACCUCUCAAGAACACAGGGGGACCAAGAGACAGCGAGGCAAGGGCGAGAGGCGACCAUACAGCCACAGAAGAAGCCCUUGCAGACACUGUGAAUCUGGGCCUGCAAAACCAGACGCCGUUUUAAAGAAGAUAUUUUGGUCAAUUUCCAGAGAAGGUAGCAGAAAUGCCAGGCAAUAAAACAGUGAGUUGAGGAUGGGCCAGUAAACCUCCUCCUUAGUGUUUAUGGCCUGGCUGCUUUGAAAGCAGGAGACACCAUCUCCAGUGGGUUUGGUCGGAGGAAGGAGUGGUGUUGAGGCUGGGGGGCUGGUGGGCGGUUAAGACCCUGACUGUUUUUUCCUCACGAAAGUCUUCCUACUGUCACUUUCUCUAGCACGGCGGCUCCUCUAGAGUGAUGUUCUCGCUCCAAAGAUCCCAGAAUAUCCUGUUAUCUGGCUGCUUUCAUCAACAAGUCAAAUCCACCUAUAAGGACCAGGCAGCCCUGGGAUCCAAGAUCGCAUAAUACUAUUCGGCAGAAAAAGAAUUAUCACAUCAAUCUGGAAAUAUAAUUGUUCCCUGAGCCACAUUCAGAAUUGUAUUCAGUUAUGUUCCACAGGUUAUCAUGACAGUCCCUGGUGGCCUGGCUCCUGCGUGUGGUAGGAGGGGCUGGGGCUGGCAGGUGUGGUGGGACCAGCGCUCCUAACUUUACAUGCCACGUUCAGAGAUUUGCCCUGUCUCUGUCAGAGAGUUGAUGUUUUAGAGCCAGGGGAUACUUGGGCAGAGCUACAGAUGGGAAGAGCCGUAGGAGAA
RNAcentral lists this long non-coding RNA (5879 nucleotides) under Sus scrofa (pig). Its description in RNAcentral is "lncRNA (ENSSSCG00060073842.1)". Lineage: Eukaryota; Metazoa; Chordata; Mammalia; Artiodactyla; Suidae. The record is from RNAcentral.